GAUGAACGCUGACAGAAUGCUUAACACAUGCAAGUCUACUUGAAUUUGGGUUUUUUAACUAGGUUUUGGUGGCGGACGGGUGAGUAACGCGUAAAGAACUUGCCUCACAGCUAGGGACAACAUUUGGAAACGAAUGCUAAUACCUGAUAUUAUUAUUAUAAGGCAUCUUAGAAUUAUGAAAGCUAUAUGCGCUGUGAGAGAGCUUUGCGUCCCAUUAGCUAGUUGGAGAGGUAACGGCUCACCAAGGCGAUGAUGGGUAGCCGGCCUGAGAGGGUGAACGGCCACAAGGGGACUGAGACACGGCCCUUACUCCUACGGGAGGCAGCAGUGGGGAAUAUUGGACAAUGGACCAAGAGUCUGAUCCAGCAAUUCUGUGUGCACGAUGACGUUUUUCGGAAUGUAAAGUGCUUUCAGUUGGGAAGAAAAAAAUGACGGUACCAACAGAAGAAGUGACGGCUAAAUACGUG
RNAcentral lists this ribosomal RNA (467 nucleotides) under uncultured bacterium. RNAcentral describes it as "partial 16S ribosomal RNA". It matches the Rfam family "Bacterial small subunit ribosomal RNA", at positions 28 to 507 of the family's 1533-position model. The record is from RNAcentral.